RNAcentral lists this ribosomal RNA (736 nucleotides) under Burmannia pusilla. RNAcentral's name for it is "eukaryotic LSU rRNA". The stretch from base 294 to 449 matches the Rfam family "5.8S ribosomal RNA". Lineage: Eukaryota; Viridiplantae; Streptophyta; Magnoliopsida; Dioscoreales; Burmanniaceae. The record is from RNAcentral.
UGAACCUGCGGAAGGAUCAUUGUUGAGAAUAGAGGAUUAAUGACUUGAGAAUUUGUCAAUCUUAUAGCUGCCCGCCAACGAAGAUGCCAACCCAAGAGGGCACUCUUUGAUUGGCAUGUUUGUUUGAUGGGCUUACUCAUGCCAUCGAAUCUUGAUGGGUGUCGGUUGGCAAAUGAUUCUGGGCAAGGCAUGUGUCAAGGAUAUAGAUUGCUCAUUGCAUUGUGGCUUGCAAUGUGCUUAAUCACAAGAAUAUGCAUGUCAUGNCAUGGUAGUUGACAAAUCAUAUCAGUUAUGACUCCCGGCAAUGGAUAUCUAGGCUCUUGCAUCGAUGAAGAACGUAGCAAAAUGCGAUACUUGGUGUGAAUUGCAGAAUCCCGUGAACCAUCGAGUCUUUGAAUGCAAGUUGCGCCCACAACCUUUUGGUUGCGGGCACACCUGCCUGGGUGUCAUGCCUCAUGUUGCUCCAUCAAACUAGACCAUGUGUUUAGAUGGAAGCGAAAAUUGGUUCACCGUGCUAUUGGAGUUGUGGUGAGCUGAAGUAUGAGACAUUGAUGGAGUAUGAGCAAAUGACGUGGUGGAUAGAAGAAUGCCUCUGUGGUUUGGAAUUGUUCUCUCCUUGUCAUAUGCUCACACCAAGCACGUUGAAGGACCCUCGAUUGCUAGUUUGGUGUUCUUCCUUGUAUAGUGACCCCAGGUCAGAUGGGACAACCCGUUGAGUUUAAGCAUAUCAAUAAGC